Molecule: long non-coding RNA, 2416 nt
Filed under: Homo sapiens (human)
Lineage: Eukaryota; Metazoa; Chordata; Mammalia; Primates; Hominidae
Description: HSALNT0306577
Source: RNAcentral
GGAGCCGGAAGUAGUCCCGCCUGGAACUGGACGACCCCGGAAGCUGCAGUGCCAGCGGCGGCGCGGCAGGGGGCGCGGUUACCCGUGGUUUUUCGCGUUGGACGACGGGCUCUGAGGGCCAAGUUCUUGUCACGAAUUUAGUUUGUUUCAGAGCGGCAGGACUCGUAGCUAGAGAACGAGGACCCACGACGCGUACGCGUUACAGUCCUGUUUCCCUAGAAACGGAGCUGCCGGCGCGGAGGUGGCUUUGAGAUUCUGCGAAAGACCUGACUGCUCUUCAACAAUUAUUGUGUUGCACCCUCCCAGGCGCCCAGUCCAAACCCCGUCAGAAUAACCACCCGGGACAGCGGUGGUCGAAGUAACUACGCCUAACUUUUCGCUUUCCAUCGUGUCCCCUCCAUAAAAACACUGCUGGGCCCCCGGAAUCCAAAGGCGAAGGAGGCACACUCCCUGCCUUAGACUUGUUGAGAGUUUUAUAGGGGCAGUGCAUAACGUACAUGAUGGUGUAUGACGAUUCGGAUGGUAGUACGAGUCAUAAACUCAAAUUCCAACAGCAUCCAGCCAGGACUUUUAAAAUUCCUUGCAACGCAAGUCUACUGGUGACAAAUUCCCUCAAAUUUUGUUUGCCUGAGAAAGUCUUUCGCCCUCACUGUUGAAGGAUAAUUUCACUGGAUACAGAAUUCUAGAUGGAGUCUUACUCUGUCGGCUCACUGCAACCUCCACCUCCGGAGUUAAAUUGAUUCUCCUGCCUCAGCCUCCCGAGUAGUUGGGAUUACAGGUGACUGACACCAUGCCUGGCUAAUCUUUGUAUUUUUAGUAGAGACAGAGUUUUGCCAUAUUGGCCAGGCUGGUCUUGAAUUGCUGACCUUGGGAUCUCCCCGCCUCGGCCUCCCAAAGUGCCAGGAUUACAGGCCUGAGCCACUGCACCCAGCCAAUAUUUUAUUUUUUCUUGCUAUGGAGUCUCACUCUAUCACCCAGGUGGGAGUGCAGUGGCGUGAUCUUGGCUCACUGCAACCUUUGCCUCCUGGGCUCAAAUGAUCCUCUAUCCUCAGCCUCCUGAGUAGCUGGGACUACAGGCGUAUGCCGUCAUGUUUGGCUAACUGGCUAACACCACCUCUAUCUGGUUCCAAAACAUUUUCACCACUCUAAAAGGAAAUCCCAUACUUGCUAAGCCAUCAAUUCCCAUUCUCCCCUCUCUCUGCCCCUGCUAACCACAAAUAUGCUUUCUGUCUCUGUGGGUUUACCUGUUAUGGAUAUUUCAUGUAGAUGGAUCCAUAUGAUAUGUGACCUUUUUUGUCUUUCUUCUUUCUCUUAACACAAUGUUUUGAGAGUCAUCCAUAUUGUAGCAUGUUUCAGUAACUUUCUUCCUUUUUAUGGCUGAAUAAUAUUCCAUGAUAUGUCUAUAUUACAAUCUGUUUAUCCAUUCUUCUAUUGAUAAGACAUCUGGCUGUUUCCACUUUUUUGCUAUUGUGAAUAGUGCUGCUGUGAACUUGUGUGUACACCAAACUCUUUUUAAUAUCUAGUCAAAUAUGGCUCAAAUAUAGUUUAUGGCCAGAAUGCUUAUAAAUACUUUUGGAAGCAGUUAACUAUCUUCCUGAGCUGGAUUCAAUCAAGACCACUACACUGUUGUCUAAUCUCUGACUUUGUUUAUGUCUUUGUUUCUAGUUUUACUACUCAAUAAAUUGAGAAAGUAUAUAGAGUAUCUCCUAAUCCUUGCUGUGUUCCUGUAACCAUAUAAGUAUAAAACUAAAAUCUGACAAAGUCUUUAUAGUCAAUGUCACAUUCAGUCACUUAAGGAACCAUUAACAUCAGAAAGAGAAAAGACCGUGUUUUACAAAAUGUUUCCAACUGAUCAAUUACUUACUGGGAAGAAAAGUAGGGUGAAAGUGCCAGGCUAUUCAGAUCAGUUAGGGUAACAAAGAUGUAAAUAUUUUUCUUCUUUGAAUUGCAAUGGUGGGGAUCAUUUCUCUUCUUCAGUAUGUAAUAAUAUAAUAAAAACUGUUUUUUCCGCAUUAUUUUUGUUGUUGUGUCCAGCAGCCCUGUUGCAAAAUCACUCUAAAGGUUGGUAUAAUUUUCAGAAAAAGCUUCAUGCCAAUUCCUGCUGCUCAAUAUCUAAGACAUCUGUGAUUCUAUUCCAGUUUCUUUGCUUAUCCAUCCUAAAUUAUCUGUGUACUGCUCCCAUUCUUAGGUUCAUUGGCUCAAUGUACAUUUGCAAGAACUACAGUGGUUGGCCAAAACCAGCUGUCACAUUAACACACAUAUACACACACACACAUAUUCAGUGUUCUCUUUUCUAUUGUCUUCAUCAAUCUAAAGAUUUUGGCUUCAUGUGGUUUGCUACUUUAGAACAAUUUCUUUUAAAUAACUCUGAGUAAAUUCUGACUUGGACUAGGUGCAGGCUUAAAAAUGAUAAAGA